Molecule: long non-coding RNA, 1042 nt
Filed under: Monodelphis domestica (gray short-tailed opossum)
Lineage: Eukaryota; Metazoa; Chordata; Mammalia; Didelphimorphia; Didelphidae
Description: lncRNA (ENSMODG00000045626.1)
Source: RNAcentral
GACUUUCCUCUGAGCUGGUAAGGAGGAUCUUUGCUCUGGCAUCCCUGGGAAAAGACUAAUCUCGUGGAAAGAUUAGGAAAUUCCUGUGUUGGAGAACUGCCUUGGAGGAGACCUGCCUUUCCCUGAGGUACAGAGAUCAACCUGUCAAAAACAACUUGGUUAAGGUGACUUAAAGCUGAAUGUUUGAACUGUUAAAGGCUGGAUCUGCAAAACUGAAAUGAGAACAGAUAUAUCACACCAGAGUCUCAUAGCUGCUUUAGGCAAGAACUUUGAUGGGAUUUAAGUUAUAGUCAAUUAGAGUUGGUUUUAAAAGAUGGGUCAGGAAUUCAGCCCUCAGAAUCCUGGAAUUCUAGAGAACAGUGUAAGAGUAAAGAAGAAAGCAUGGACAGCCAUGGCAAUUGCACAAAUAAGCUAUUUCCUUCAGAGAUCUAAGAGCUCUCUAGCUUUGAAGAUAAAAGGACAUACUGUUUCACAGCUGAAAACUUUCCAUGACAAGUUGCUGAGAGAGAUAGAGAAUUUGAAAUCCUGUUAAGUGUCCUGAGGAGCUGAUUGGAGAGGAAGGUACCUGGUUCUCCCUGGAAUAUGAAGUAGACAGCAGGCCCCUCUUUUUCUGUACUCAAGGACAAGAGCAAGCCUGAAAGCUGGAUGUACCCAGUAUAAUUGCAUCUAGCCCAGACUCAGCAGCUCCACCACCUGUGAAAACUCGUAACCUGAUCCCGAAUAACUAACUGCUGGGAAGCUGGGAGGGUCCUCAUGGAGAUAAUACUUUCCAGAAAAAAAAUUCCAUUAUGGGGGGCAGAGAAACUUGAGCCUAAUGCUGGAGGAAUCCACUGCGCUAAAUGGAAAAGCCUCUUCUGAAAGCAGUUGAUGGUUCAAAUAGUCAGUGUAAUAUGUGUGUGUUUGAUCCCUCCAGUGAGAACAGAAAAAUAAUGGUCCACACAUUUGUUCUUCUUAAUAGAGCCUUAUGGGAGAUUAGUGAGGGCCAGUAAACCACAUUCCAAUGGAGAAUAAAAAAUUCAGAAAUCAAGAGGAAAAGGGGAAA